UACGGAGGAUCCGAGCGUUAUCCGGAUUUAUUGGGUUUAAAGGUGCGCAGGCGGCUUUGUAAGUUAGAGGUGAAAUUUCGGUGCUUAACAUCGAACGUGCCUCUGAUACUGCAGAGCUAGAGACCAGUUGCAGAAGGCGGAAUGUGUAGUGUAGCGGUGAAAUGCUUAGAUAUUACACAGAACACCGAUUGCGAAGGCAGCUUUCUAAGCUGGAUCUGACGCUGAGGCACGAAAGCGUGGGUAGCGAACAGGA
Molecule: ribosomal RNA, 253 nt
Filed under: uncultured prokaryote
Description: partial 16S ribosomal RNA
Rfam family: Bacterial small subunit ribosomal RNA
Source: RNAcentral